AGUGAACGCUGGCGGUAGGCCUAACACAUGCAAGUCGAACGGCAGCACAGUAAGAGCUUGCUCUUACGGGUGGCGAGUGGCGGACGGGUGAGGAAUACAUCGGAAUCUACUUUUUCGUGGGGGAUAACGUAGGGAAACUUACGCUAAUACUGCAUACGACCUACGGGUGAAAGCAGGGGAUCUUCGGACCUUGCGCGAUUGAAUGAGCCGAUGUCGGAUUAGCUAGUUGGCGGGGUAAAGGCCCACCAAGGCGACGAUCCGUAGCUGGUCUGAGAGGAUGAUCAGCCACACUGGAACUGAGACACGGUCCAGACUCCUACGGGAGGCAGCAGUGGGGAAUAUUGGACAAUGGGCGCAAGCCUGAUCCAGCCAUACCGCGUGGGUGAAGAAGGCCUUCGGGUUGUAAAGCCCCUUUGUUGGGAAAGAAAAGCAGCAGGUUAAUACCCCGCUGUUCUGACGGUACCCAAAGAAUAAGCACCGGCUAACUUCGUG
This 492-nucleotide ribosomal RNA is filed under the name uncultured bacterium. RNAcentral describes it as "partial 16S ribosomal RNA". It matches the Rfam family "Bacterial small subunit ribosomal RNA", at positions 29 to 507 of the family's 1533-position model. The record is from RNAcentral.